AUACGUAGGGGGCGAGCGUUGUCCUGAAUGAUUGGGCGUAAAGGGCGCGUAGGCGGCUUUGCAAGUCAGUAGUGGAAGUCCAUUUUUCAAGGAUGGAAGUGCUACAGAAACUGCGGAGCUUGAGUGCAGGAGAGGUUAUCGGAAUUCCCGGUGUAGCGGUGAAAUGCGUAGAGAUCGGGAGGAACACCAGUGGCGAAGGCGGGUAACUGGACUGCAACUGACGCUGAGGCGCGAAAGUGUGGGGAGCAAACAGGAUUAGAUACCCUGGUAGUCCACACUGUAAACGAUGAAUGCUAGGUGUAGGAGGUAUCGACCCCUUCUGUGCCGCAGUAAACACAGUAAGCAUUCCGCCUGGAGAGUACGGUCGCAAGAUUAAAACUCAAAUGAAUUGGCGGGG
RNAcentral lists this ribosomal RNA (397 nucleotides) under uncultured bacterium. Its description in RNAcentral is "partial 16S ribosomal RNA". It matches the Rfam family "Bacterial small subunit ribosomal RNA", at positions 523 to 918 of the family's 1533-position model. The record is from RNAcentral.